UCCCUGGUAGUUCAGAGGUUAAAGCGUCUGCCUGCAAUGCAGGAAAUCAGGGUUCUAUCCCUGGGUCGGGGUA
This is a non-coding RNA of Bos taurus (domestic cattle), 73 nucleotides long. Lineage: Eukaryota; Metazoa; Chordata; Mammalia; Artiodactyla; Bovidae. The record is from Rfam.